CAUUAUACGAAAACUUAACACAGGUCAAGAACUUCACAAAAUUUCAAUGAUGAUAUGGCCCUGCAAAGACAAAGAAAUAAGUUAUACUUACACAACCCAAACCUAAUAAAAUUGAACAAGGCAGAUAUUACACAAUAAAUAAUAUCCGGGCUAAGAGGAUCGAUGUUAUAACUCAUAAAGCAAAACUUUGGUUUGAUUCUCUACUAGUGCGCUUUUGGGGGAGGAUAGUUAAAAGAAUGGAAUCCGACCAUAUAUUCAACCCAAUGCAACUAAUUGUUGCUUCAACCUUUUCAGUUUUGCAACGUGAUUUUAGAGGCUGCAAUCGAGUCCGGAAGCUAUCCAAACAUAAUAUAUAAUGUGCCCAAAACUAUAUUUUUAUUAUUAUAAUAAUCAAACAGCCAACUAAGCACAACAAAAUAAUUAAAGAUUUGAAAACCACAAUCUCUCAGCGAACAGAUCCUAGUGAAAUUCCUGAUAUUUGUAUAGACGCGUAGCAAUCAAUGGUAAACUACAACAAUUGUCUCCUUAAACAAAAUAUCUUCUUAGUAUGAAUCCGACCCUAAAUUUAAAACCAAAGAUUUUUAGGGAAGCUUACCCUUAAAACUGUGCGAAAACGAAAAAGUGGAAAGAUCUAGGCAGAGAAAAACACUGUCUAUCAUGAUUAACACAGCCAUUUAAACGCAAAAACAACCACACAAAACAAAAGACAUCCAAAUUAGAAUAAAAUAAUUGGACAAGAAAAAAAUAGAAUCACCUGCAGAUGAUAACAGAAACGCGGGUGGAAAAUUGUGAAGCGAGAAUCAGAGGAAAGAAGGAGAGAGUGCUAUUGAGAGUUUUGGGGGUACGAAGGAUCGAUAAAUAAUAUAAACGGGGGCGAAGAUUAGGGUUUCGAAGAAAAAGGAGAGGAAAGAUCCACGCAUGUGUGGGUGAAAAUGGGGUUUUAGGGUUUCAGCGUAAGAGAGCUGUUGGGUUUAGAGCUAGCUUAGCUUCUCCGAAAGAAACGUAC
RNAcentral lists this long non-coding RNA (1006 nucleotides) under Vigna radiata. RNAcentral's name for it is "long non-coding RNA (VRAD_LNC002472)". The record is from RNAcentral. Lineage: Eukaryota; Viridiplantae; Streptophyta; Magnoliopsida; Fabales; Fabaceae.